RNAcentral lists this long non-coding RNA (481 nucleotides) under Medicago truncatula (barrel medic). RNAcentral describes it as "long non-coding RNA (MTRU_LNC008836)". Lineage: Eukaryota; Viridiplantae; Streptophyta; Magnoliopsida; Fabales; Fabaceae. The record is from RNAcentral.
AAUGUUCCAAGAGUAAUAUUUCCUUCAUGCUGCGAUUUUGAUGAAUCAAAUGUUCACAUAAAAAGUAGUUUCUUCGUCUCUCCUAUAAAAAAAUUAUUCAUCUCUCCUUUAUUUUUUUUCAUGUGACUUAUUUUAUUUUUUCCUUAUGCUUUUAUGACAUUGUUAUGCUUUUUUGUUUUCGUUAUUAUUCUAUUUAAAUUUAUGGAUGGUUUAUAAAUGAAUACUAUAGUUUUUAUUUUUACUUUUGUGGUUCCUAUGCAUACAGGGUAUUGAAUCAAGAAAUCACGAACAAGCACAAAAAAUAAGAAUAUGGAGAUAUUAUUUUAUAGAUGAAACCGAUUAUAUGAUGGUUGAGUUCAAGACAACAUAUUCUUCACACGAGGGCCUAGGGGAAAAAAAGAUGACAUUAUGACAAACUUUGAGAUUCCAAAGAAAUUAGUCGUUCUUAGAAAAUAAUCUAGAUAAAUUUUUUACUAUGAUG